UGAGGAAUAUUGGACAAUGGAGGCAACUCUGAUCCAGCCAUGCCGCGUGAAGGACUAAGGCCCUAUGGGCUGUAAACUUCUUUAGACGCAGAGCAAUAAGGGCCACGCGUGGUCCGAUGAGAGUAUGCGUAGAAUAAGCAUCGGCUAACUCCGUGCCAGCAGCCGCGGUAAUACGGGGGAUGCGAGCGUUAUCCGGAUUCAUUGGGUUUAAAGGGUGCGUAGGCGGCUUUGCAAGUCAGCGGUGAAAGGCCCGGGCUCAACCCGGAAAGUGCCGUUGAUACUGUGAGGCUGGAAUGCGGAUGCUGUGGGAGGAAUGAGUGGUGUAGCGGUGAAAUGCAUAGAUAUCACGCAGAACUCCGAUUGCGAAGGCAGCAUACCGGCGCUCAACUGACGCUGAGGCACGAAAGCGUGGGGAUCAAACAGGAUUAGAUACCUGGUAGU
This 441-nucleotide ribosomal RNA is filed under the name uncultured Parabacteroides sp. RNAcentral describes it as "bacterial SSU rRNA". It matches the Rfam family "Bacterial small subunit ribosomal RNA", at positions 355 to 794 of the family's 1533-position model. The record is from RNAcentral. Lineage: Bacteria; Pseudomonadati; Bacteroidota; Bacteroidia; Bacteroidales; Tannerellaceae.